RNAcentral lists this ribosomal RNA (253 nucleotides) under uncultured bacterium. Its description in RNAcentral is "partial 16S ribosomal RNA". It matches the Rfam family "Bacterial small subunit ribosomal RNA", at positions 524 to 776 of the family's 1533-position model. The record is from RNAcentral.
UACAGAGGUCUCAAGCGUUGUCUGGAUUUAUUGGGCGUAAAGAGCGUGUAGGCGGCCAGACAGGUCCGUUGUGAAAACUCGAGGCUCAACCUCGAGACGCCGAUGGAAACCGUCUGGCUAGAGUCCGGAAGAGGAGAGUGGAAUUCCUGGUGUAGCGGUGAAAUGCGCAGAUAUCAGGAAGAACACCCGUGGCUAAGGCGGCUCUCUAGUACGGUACUGACGCUGAGACGCGAAAGCGUGGGGAGCGAACAGG